Small nucleolar RNA from Jaculus jaculus (lesser Egyptian jerboa), 133 nucleotides. Lineage: Eukaryota; Metazoa; Chordata; Mammalia; Rodentia; Dipodidae. The record is from Ensembl.
AAGUCAGCCAAUUAAUCUGCUUACUUGAACGUGUUUCUGCAGAAAUUCAGAAAAAGCUGGCAAUAGUGCUGCCAUGUUUAUGAGCCUUAAGGACAACUGAGGCCAUUAAGCUUCCCGAAAAAUAGCUACAAUA